AGAGGAUAAAUACUGGAAGGUUUUAUUCUUCAAAGCUUCGGCACCUGAGGAUGGGACUGCGUCGGAUUAGCUUGUUGUCGGGAUAAUUACCCGACAAGGCGAUAAUCCGUACGGGUUGUGAGAGCAAUAGCCCGGAGAUGGAUUCUGAGACAUGAAUCCAGGUCCUACGGGACGCAGCAGGCGCGAAACCUUCACAAUGCCUGAAAGGGUGAUGAGGGAACUCUGAGUGACUUCGCAAUGCGAAGUCUUUUGCCAAGUGCAAAAAGCUCGGUGAAUAAGUGGUGGGCAAGACAGUUGCCAGCCGCCGCGGUAAUAACUGCGCCACGAGUGGUGAUCUCGUUUAUUGGGCUUAAAGCGUUCGUAGCCGGUUUUAUAAGCAUCUGGUGAAAUCCGAUAGUAAACUAUUGGGCUGGCUAGGUGUACUGUAAGACUAGGGACCGGUAGGGGCCGGGAGUACUCCUAGGGUAGGGGUUAAAUCCUUUAAUCCUAGGGGGACUACCAGUGGCGAAGGCGCCCGGCUAGAACGGGUCCGACGGUGAGGGACGAAAGCUGGGGGAGCGAUCCGGAUUAGAUACCCGGGUAGUCCCAGCUGUAAACGAUGCCCGCUUGGUGUGGUGAAACUUUCGUGGUUUUGCCGUACCGUAGCG
This 647-nucleotide ribosomal RNA is filed under the name uncultured archaeon. RNAcentral's name for it is "bacterial SSU rRNA". It matches the Rfam family "Archaeal small subunit ribosomal RNA", at positions 156 to 808 of the family's 1478-position model. The record is from RNAcentral.